Molecule: ribosomal RNA, 255 nt
Filed under: uncultured bacterium
Lineage: Bacteria
Description: partial 16S ribosomal RNA
Rfam family: Bacterial small subunit ribosomal RNA
Source: RNAcentral
UACGGGGGGAGCAAGCGUUUGUUCGGAUUUACUGGGCGUAAAGGGCGCGUAGGCGGCGCAACAAGUCACUUGUGAAAUCUCCGGGCUUAACCCGGAGCGGCCAAGUGAUACUGUCGUGCUAGAGUGCGGAAGAGGCUACUGGAAUUCUCGGUGUAGCGGUGAAGUGCGUAGAUAUCGAGAGGGAACACCUGCGGCGAAGGCGGGUAGCUGGGCCGACACUGACGCUGAGGCGCGAAAGCCAGGGGAGCGAACGGG